GUGAAUCAUCGAAUCUUUGAACGCAAAUUGCGCUUCCUGGCAUCCCGGGGAGUAUUCCUGUUUGAGGGUCAGUAUUAACAAAAAAAUCGGUUUGGUUUCAAAUUGUGACGUUUCCGGAGUCUGGGUUAUCUUAACGUUUUUGGUUAAGGGGCUUAAAAUUUAUUUUUUUUUCGUAUUUUUAGAUGUAUAUUAUUUUUUUUUUUAUUCGUCUAUUCUUAAUGCCAUAAUCUUAUUAGCUGCGAUCACAU
RNAcentral lists this unclassified non-coding RNA (248 nucleotides) under Glomeraceae sp. RNAcentral describes it as "partial contains 5.8S ribosomal RNA and internal transcribed spacer 2". The stretch from base 1 to 71 matches the Rfam family "5.8S ribosomal RNA", at positions 84 to 154 of the family's 154-position model. Lineage: Eukaryota; Fungi; Glomeromycota; Glomeromycetes; Glomerales; Glomeraceae. The record is from RNAcentral.